This is a long non-coding RNA of Gorilla gorilla gorilla (western lowland gorilla), 6333 nucleotides long. RefSeq lists it as uncharacterized. The record is from RefSeq and is a predicted model, not a curated record. Lineage: Eukaryota; Metazoa; Chordata; Mammalia; Primates; Hominidae. The transcript has 3 exons.
CCCCAGUUCUUGGAAGUUAGCUGUUUCUCCUCCUCGCAGACAACCUCCAGAGCAGGGCAGCAGGCAGCUGCUAGAGAUUUAUUUCUCCACUUAGUUGUCUCCGCUUGCGGCUUCCUCCCAUGAGUGAGGACCAAGAGAAGCCCCCUGUCUCUGAUGAAAGUGGGGGAUGAACACUGAACCAAACCCACACUGCUCAGCACAUUUGAUGUGGCCAGAAACAGACUGCAAAGGCUGAGAAAGCUUUUCAGGGGCCGUCUGGCUGUGUGGGUGCGAAGACCUGGCUGUACUUGGAAUCACCUGGGAAGACUUACAAAAAUGGUUUCCGAGCCUCACCCGCAAGGAUUCUGACUUGGCAAUGGAAGAAUGAAAGGCAACCCAGAGUGAAAUUAGGAUUACAAUUUUACAAACGUCUGUUUCUGACGCAGGAAGCACAUCAUUUGUCCACAUCACACUCUCUUGGAAUUUAUGACAAAGCCAGGUAAAUGAAAACUUGGAAAGAUAAACCUCAGAUAAGGGGGACUACUGUAUUCAUUCCUUCACCAUGGCGUGUCUGUGUCUGAGAAUCUACCCUCAAAAACAAUCUGGAUGCAAAGAAGCCGUGAGAUAGAGCGCAGUCCCUUCAUUUCAUAAAAGAAUGAAACUAACUCAAAUACACAAGGCAAUGGGUGAGUAAAGUAUUGCACUACCCUUAAUGUAAUAUUGUGGGGCCAUUGAAAACAUGCUCACAUGUUUGUGGAAAUCUGAGAAGUGUUUCUAUCUAUGGCAUUUCAUCACAUUUAAGACACUGUUGAUUAGAGAACACACCACCAUUUCACGUACCUUUAAGGAAGAAAAAAAUACCCAGAAUGGUUAUUUAAUAAGGGACGUCUAAGUAAAGCUGGGAUCCUAAAGGGCUAUUUCUUUGGUGGGAGGAGAAUGAUAAACAGCCUCGUCAGGCAGAAAGAGCCAGUGUCCCAGGCAUGGACCCGGAUGCAGGGAGGGAACAAAACUGCCCCUGAGGACGUGCACAAGCCAGUACUCAUGCUGGUUUGAGUCUGAAUUUGCACAAACAUAUGUUCUGGAAACACCUCAAGCAAAUGCUGUAACUGAAUUUAAGUUUAAGGUUAUGUCAAGUUGGCAGUGCCCCCAGGUGACUGGCAGAAACAAAUACAACCUCCUCUAGAAAGAAGUGAAUGUUAACACCAGCUGACAGUGCCUGUAAAACAUCAGCCACUGUACAGUGCAAGAUCCAGAGACGUUAAAAUGUGAAGUGAGUUUUAGAAUUUACCAUAAGUAAAAAAGAAGAAUCAAAUGGGUAUGUGGAGGAUGACAUCUCUUUGCCGAGUAGACCGACUGGAAGGAAAAACUGGAAGUAAAAUGUUCACAGUGAUCUUCUGUAGGUGCUAAGACUACAGCAUUUUCUUUCUUUAAACGAGUCUGCGUUUUCCAGCUUUUUGUAAAGUGACCAUAUAAAAAAAGGAGAAAUAAGGAGACGCAAGUGAGAGAAUGACUUUGGGUGGGGUAGUCAAGGAGGUGACCCUGAAGGAGGUGACACCUGAACUGAGAAGGGACCAGCACAGGAGAAGCCACCUGAAGAGUUCAUUGCUACAUGUGUAUACAGGACAAGGACCUGGGGCACAGGGAAGAUGCUUGAUAUGUAUUUGUUAAAUGAAUACACCGGUUAAGGAAGGAAAAAGCUGCUAAAACAGGAGCCUAAGUCUCAAGGGGUCCCAGCCAGAGUCUGGCUCUUCAGGGAGCCAUUCUCACUGGACUGAGCUGAUAAACAGGGCAGGGCCGCCCACCUGGCCAACAGCGGGGCCCUUUGGAAAGUAUGCAGCUGCAGAGUUAGCAGAGAACCAUGGUUGUGGGUCUCGGGCCUGUUUCUCCAUCUGUCAAAUGAGGUUAGAGCUUUGCCACCUCUGUCUCUGAAGUCAGCUCCAGAUUAUAUCGUGCUUUGAAAUAUUAAGCCACGUGCGAGCGUGAGGGGCUGUCACGCUCCAGGAGGUCCUCAUGCGAGCCCAGCAGCACCUCCCUGUAACACUGGGAACUGUCAGCACCUCCCUGUAACACUGGGACCUGUGAGCUUCAGACAAGCUGCUUUGUCUCAGGAAGGUUCCCGUGCUCUGCUGCUCAGCCCACAGGAGAUGUCACAUCAGCUCCUGUCUUCCUGCCCGCAUGCACUUACCAUGUACGAGCCUGUGCUGGAAACUGCUAACAGAGAUAAGAGAUGGGUCCCUGUCCUUGAGAAAGUCACAGGGAGUCCAGAGAGUCAGAUGAGCAAACAGGAUGAUACCCUGUGGGACCCGAGGGAGGGGGCACACAAUCUGCUGCUGAGAGGCAGUUAACAGCCACCACUGGGGGGAAAUAAUGGAGGCAUUGUAGGUUUCCUACAUUGUUUCCUUUUGCUGUCACAGUUUUGGGAGGUUAUCUCCAUUUCACAGAUCGGGGCUGGAAACUAAGUCAUCUGUCAAGUUCACAGAGUCUGGACUCGCACCUGGGCUGGGGUGACUCAAGUCCAUGCCCACGGGCAUACUACCACACUGGUAUGUGUGUGCUGGCAGUGGGGGGGCAGGGAGAUGGGAGGAGGCUAUUGUAGAGGUGACAGCGUGCUCUUCAUUUAGAGACUGGGGCCAAGGGGUAAUGGUGGGCAAUGAGGCUGGCACAAGGGCCAGGUGGGCUGUGGAUUCCUUGUGAAGAAGUUGAUAUGAGCAAAUCCACAAAUCCGGCCAAAAGGGAAAAUUUCCCUGGGCUUUCUGCGCAGGUCAUCCCCCUGUCCCAAGCCAGCCCCUCAGAGGACAUUCAGCAAGGGCAUCCCAUGUCCUGCAGCCAGAGGGCUACAGGGAAAACUUAACUCCCACCAGCUUCCAGCUGCUCUGACUGGGACCAUGCCCAGGUGUCACUGUCACCCUGGUCUGCUGUGGAGGGUGCCAGGCAAGAGUUCGCUCUCCCUGGAGACCCAGCUCAGCUCUUGCUAAGCAGUGGCCGUUGUGGGGCAGGAAGAGCCGAGCUGGGCCCGACCGCUGGUACGGAGCAGAAUUCUAAGGAAUUUGCAGAUGGAAUUGGGGUUACUAACAGGCUGACCUUAAAAUAGAGAGGUGAUCCUGGGUUAGCUGAGUAACCCAAAGUAAUCACAGGAGCCCUUAAAACAAGGAAGGCAGAAGAGAGACUCCAGACAUAAGGACUUAACCCACCAUGGGCGGCUUUGAAGGAGGCCACAAGUCAGGAAAUACAAGGGGCUGAGAAUGAACCCCGAGGCCCAUGGCUGGCAAGGCAACAGGAACCUCAGUCCCACAACUCGAUGGAACUGCAUCCUGCCAACACAGAACUCGAAUGCAGGUUCACUGCCGGAGUGCCCACACCCAGAUCUUGGCCUUGUGACUCAAGCAGAGCACUGGCUGGGCAUAUGAUGCUGACUUCUGACUCUCAGUUCAUGGCGGACAGUAACUGACUGCUGCUUUAAACUGAUACACCUGUGGCAACUGGUUACCGAGGAAGAAAGAUCACCUGGGCUGGAGAGUGGAGGGAACAGGGCCCAGGAUGCUGGCGAUGAAAGGACACAGGUCCCACUGUCGGUGCCAUGCUGGCCACAGGAGCAUCUCCUCUGGGACAGGAGCAUCGCAGUCAUGAGUAGUGUUAAAUGCAUUCCUUCACUCAUUCAGCCAACGUCUCUCAAACAUUUGCUACGAUAUAAGUGCUAGCUGGGUGUCUGGAGCUCAAAUCUCAUGAAAGGACAGAAGGCCAAACAGACAACACCCAGGGAAAUGAGUCCCAGGAUAGGAACAAGGUCCCCGCCCGCCCCUACCCCACCUCUGGCACCCAGAUGCUGUGGGAGGUGAGAGAAGGGUCACUGGUCCACCAGGGGUCGAGGUUUCUCAGGGCUUGAAGCCCUGUCCUGGGUCUUGGUCCCAGGAAGGAGACAGAGGCCAUGUCGGGGUGGGCCACACUCAGGGGGAAGCAGCAGACUGGCUGGGCUGGUACAUGGACCAUAAGGGACCUGGCCACCAGGUGUGCUGGGAUCAGCUCAGGAGAGCCUCACAGUUCAGACAGGAAAGUUGGGACCGAGGAUGCCAAGCAGGGGAGAGAGGCUGGGGUUAGGACACAUCCCAGGACUUCCCCAACCGUUAGGACAGUGACCUUCAAACCAUGUCAGCCCCUGCCCUCUGGGGCCAUGUGCCCCCGCACACCCUGGCUGGGGGAUAGCAGCCCGUGCCGGUGGCCUGGAGCACCACAUCCACACACACCAUCUGUAAGUGAAUGAAUUCACACUUUGGUUUGUGUACCAGCCUUGGGGACUGCUGUUCCGCCAGCACCUGGCACAUAGCAAACAAUCCAUGUUAGCUUUACAGGUAAAUAAAAGACAAAGGCAGGUGUCUGAGAGACUGGCCGCAUCAGGGAAAACAGUGAAGGAGGGGUGUCUGAUGCCCAGGACAUGAUGGGGGAGGGGUCAAGGCCUGCAGGCCAAAGGAAGCCAGCUGGGGACAGAUGGCAGACAGCAUCCCUCACCCUGUGGCACAAGCCUGGAAGCUAGGUCUGCCCUCCCUCAGGAGCUGUGCAGCAGAGCCACUGUUGCACUGUGACAGGACACCUUGAUACCCGCUUCUUGGAUGGAGAGGGUGCACUUGUUCUGAAUGAGGAGCUCAAGGUGGGAAAAUAAGCUCCGAGCUCUAUCUUUGCCACAAAGAUGGCAGCAGAGGCCCUGAGUUCAUCUGACUACAUAGGUGAUUGGGAAGGACUUCUGACUGUUCUCGCAGGGUCCAGAGGACCUGACUCUGCCACCAGCUCCCGGAGGGUGGGGGCGCUCCUGGCAGCGCCUCCCCUCCACGGGCUCUGCUUUCCUAGUGGGGUCAAAUCAAUUACUUGCAGGUCUCUAAAUGCAAAGUGCAAAGUUCCAUGUAUUGAUUCAUCUAAUCCUCAAAACAAUCUUGUGUGCUUUUCCAAGCCCAUUUCACAGAUGAAGAGGUUGGAUUGGUGAGGGGGUUUUCCACUUUUACAAAUUUUUAGUUGACAAAUCCUUCUUGGGAGAAAAGAGUACAAAAAAGACCAAUGUGUAAAACAGACAGAUUGGAGCAACCCUGUUUAGGGGAGGAAUGGAGGGAGAUAAGGCUCUCCAGAAACAAGAGGCCCUGAAGACACAUCUAUGAAGUCAGCCUUCAUGAAGGGCUGAGCCUGAGGACUGGUGAAGCUCACUCAGCUGGACUCCCUUCCCCAGGGCCACAGAUCGCCUGUGGCUGAAGUGAAGUUGUGGAGAGCGCCUCGGGGGCUGGGACUGUCCGCCCCACACCUGGACACCCUGCUCAUGCCCGCCUGGGGCAGUGCUGUGAGGGUGCGGGAGGGCCACUCCGCGGAGGCCCUGACAGGCGAUGCGUUCCUCUGAUGGCCUGUCCCACUUCAGAGCCCAGGACCUGCGUGACAACAUCCCACACCCACCCACUUCAGGAAAAGAGGACUAGGAGAGACUGGUGAGGGCAGCCAGGGCUCUGCUGAGCAGUGGGACAGUGGGGAAGACAGAAAUCCUCCAGGGUCUGCCCAGCUGGCCAGAGGGCGAAAGGGGUGCUCCAAAUCACAGACCCGCUGCAGCCUUGCCCUUAGACACCACCCAGGUCUGUCCCCCAACUUCAUAGACCAGGAAACUGAGGCCCAGAGAGAAAGAGGUGAAUUUGCCUAGGUUUCUCAGCUGAUGGGUGGCACGGCCUGGACAAGAACCCAAAUUUCUUGACCUCUGGUCCAGUACCCUUUUCCAAAGGAAAAGGAAAACAUGGUUUUGCGAGAAUAACACAGAGACAGGGCCAAAUAAGUCAAAAUGAGGACUAGACACUUGAAGGUAGGAGCCCUGUAUCUGCGACGCGAUUCUCCGUUAACCUGCCGGGUGACCUGGGGCAGAAAGCAACCCCCAACCCUGGUCUGGAUCCAGUUUCCUCCCCUGCUCCGCGGGACGCUGUCCAGGGGCCGAGUGGGGUCUAACACCCUCACCAGCACCUUCCACUCUGGAGUGAGAGGGACAGGUACAAGAGCGCCGCUGCCGCCUGGGAUCUCUGCACAGCCACUUCGCAGGCAGCCUGAGAAACGUCCGUUGCUCCACCAGGCGGAGUUCUGCCCCGCGAGUCUUCAUCCCAGGUAAGGCCCCCCCCCCACCUCGUGCACUGAGUCUACGCGCGGGCCUUUUCCUUUGAGCCAGGGAUACACCCGCCGCCCCUGCGCCGGCCCCCACAGGUCUGCGCUCAUGCACAUCGCCUUGCAUCCGUUCAGUUACCGGCACCCGCUCCCUCGCUCGCAAACUCCCGCACUAGCCCGGCCACCGCCUCUGCUCGCGCGCGCGGGGUGCUGGAGCCACACCGCGGGCGCUCUAGCCCCGGG